This is a long non-coding RNA of Capsicum annuum, 900 nucleotides long. RefSeq lists it as uncharacterized. NCBI's taxonomy places the organism in Eukaryota, Viridiplantae, Streptophyta, Magnoliopsida, Solanales, Solanaceae. The transcript is spliced from 4 exons. The record is from RefSeq and is a predicted model, not a curated record.
CACUCCUACUCACUUGUUAUGGACACAAUCCUAUCUACUACCCUUCUACUUUUAUCUAUGUCCUCCACACCUUCCUAUUUAAGGUCAUAUACUCGAUAAGCUGCAACGCACCGGUGACGCAUCAAUUCUAAUUUCUUUGGUUUUUAUGUUGGUGAUGAUUUGUCUCUACCUUGAACUAUACUUUCUCGGUACGGAAUGUUCUACUUCUUGGUCUAAUCAACUGAACUGUCGUGGAUUAAACAGGCACCUAAACCAGAACCGCCUGUUGGGAAACUGCUGCCAAGUCCGUUGAAAAGAAAGGCAAGGAUUUGUCUCUAGAUCCAGCUGAAAAACUUCGUCAACAAAGUGAAGAGUGAUUUCUUGGAUAUGCUGAGCUAAUUUCUCAUAAAGCUGAGACCGUAUGAGAAAAGUUACCAUUAAAUCGGACUGCUCAAGGCAGUUAUGAGACUGUCGAUUACUCGGUUGAAAAGACGAGAUGCUAAAGAUAUUGCUUCUUCUGUUACUGCAAUUGAUAAGGCUGAAAAGGAAGCCAAUGCAAGUGCAAAGAAGAAGAAGCUGCAUGUUGAUCGGGCAGACUAUGAAGCAGUUGUUAAUGCAUACGACAGUGUCUUCAUGUGAGGGAACUUAGAAAAUCAUGUAAAUAGAACACCUCCCCACAACGUUAGACGAUCUUGGAGUUACAUGUGAAAAAAUGAGGAUCCCGCGACCUGUUUUCCCAACCUAUUCGCCUUUUCUGUGAUCAAGUAAUUGUUGGGGAAUUGUUGGGGAUCAAGUCAUAAAUCCGGAGAAGGAUUGGACUGCAUGAAUCUAUUGUAUAAAAUAUUAUUUAUCUAACAUUUUAAAAAAAUCUGAAUAUUAAUUUGCCUAGGUAGAGAUAAUACAUAACUGUGUUUUAAUUUG